AGUGAACGCUGGCGGUAGGCCUAACACAUGCAAGUCGAACGGCAGCACAGUAAGAGCUUGCUCUUACGGGUGGCGAGUGGCGGACGGGUGAGGAAUACAUCGGAAUCUACUUUUUCGUGGGGGAUAACGUAGGGAAACUUACGCUAAUACCGCAUACGACCUACGGGUGAAAGCAGGGGAUAUUCGGACCUUGCGCGAUUGAAUGAGCCGAUGUCGGAUUAGCUAGUUGGCGGGGUAAAGGCCCACCAAGGCGACGAUCCGUAGCUGGUCUGAGAGGAUGAUCAGCCACACUGGAACUGGAACACGGUCCAGACUCCUAAGGGAGGCAGCAGUGGGGAAUAUUGGACAAUGGGCGCAAGCCUUAUCCAGCCAUACCGCGUGGGUGAAGAAGGCCUUCCGGUUGUAAAGCCCUUUUGUUGGGAAAGAAAAGCAGCAGGUUAAUACCCCGCUGUUCUGACGGUACCCAAAGAAUAAGCACCGGCUAACUUCGUG
This 492-nucleotide ribosomal RNA is filed under the name uncultured bacterium. Its description in RNAcentral is "partial 16S ribosomal RNA". It matches the Rfam family "Bacterial small subunit ribosomal RNA", at positions 29 to 507 of the family's 1533-position model. The record is from RNAcentral.